RNAcentral lists this ribosomal RNA (422 nucleotides) under uncultured bacterium. RNAcentral's name for it is "bacterial SSU rRNA". It matches the Rfam family "Bacterial small subunit ribosomal RNA", at positions 355 to 774 of the family's 1533-position model. The record is from RNAcentral.
UGAGGAAUAUUGGGCAAUGCCCGCGAGGGUGACCCAGCAACGCCGCGUGGAGGAUGAAUGUCGUAAGAUUGUAAACUCCUGUUAGAGGGGAAGAAUAGUACCGGUUGGACCGGUAUAUGACUGUACCCUCAGAGAAAGCCCCGGCUAACUACGUGCCAGCAGCCGCGGUAAUACGUAGGGGGCAAGCGUUGUCCGGAUUUACUGGGUGUAAAGGGCGCGCAGGCGGGAUAAAAAGUCAGUGGUGAAAUCCUACAGCUUAACUGUAGAACUGCCUUUGAUACUUUUAUUCUUGAGUUCGGGAGAGAGAGACGGAAUUCCAGGUGUAGUGGUGAAAUACGUAGAUAUCUGGAAGAACACCAGUUGCGAAGGCGGUCUCUUGGUCCGAUACUGACGCUGAGGCGCGAAAGCGUGGGGAGCAAACA